UGAAGAGUGCAAAGGCAGAAGGGAGCUUGACUGCGACACCGACGGGUGGAGCAGGUACGAAAGUAGGACUUAGUGAUCCGGUGGUAUAAAGUGGGAUUGCCAUCGCUCAACGGAUAAAAGCUACCCUGGGGAUAACAGGCUUAUCACUCCCAAGAGUUCACAUCGACGGAGUGGUUUGGCACCUCGAUGUCGGCUCAUCGCAUCCUGGGGCUGUAGCAGGUCCCAAGGGUUGGGCUGUUCGCCCAUUAAAGCGGUACGCGAGCUGGGUUCAGAACGUCGUGAGACAGUUCGGUCCCUAUCCGGCGCGGGCGGAGGAUAUUUGAGAGGAGCUGUCCUUAGUACGAGAGGACCGGGAUGGACGGACCACUGGUGUAUCUGUUGUCGACCAACGGCAUGGCAGAGUAGCCAAGUCUGGAAGGGAUAAACGCUGAAGGCAUCUAAGCGUGAAGCCCCCCUCAAGAUGAGAUAUCCCUCCUUCGGGAGUAAGACCCCUUGAAGACUACAAGGUAGAUAGGGCAGAGGUGGAAGCAUGGCAACAUGUGGAGCUGACUGUUACUAAUAGGUCGAGGGCUUAAUCUG
Molecule: ribosomal RNA, 579 nt
Filed under: Agathobacter rectalis
Lineage: Bacteria; Bacillati; Bacillota; Clostridia; Lachnospirales; Lachnospiraceae
Description: partial 23S ribosomal RNA
Rfam family: Bacterial large subunit ribosomal RNA
Source: RNAcentral